Oncorhynchus tshawytscha (Chinook salmon) is the source of this 266-nucleotide long non-coding RNA. The record is from Ensembl. Lineage: Eukaryota; Metazoa; Chordata; Actinopteri; Salmoniformes; Salmonidae.
CAGCACAGGAGAAGUCAGUCUAGUCAGUCUGUCGACACUCCUCCCCACCCUCGUCGUCUGUGAAAAACAGCCCAUUCAAGCCAAAACAAACGAUCGCCACCAAAACAAAAGAUCGCCAGCCCCGCCCGCUCCUCUCCCCCCGCCCGACGCAAAUAAUCAACACAAGCCCUGCCAUUGCCCCACCUGAGCGCAUUUGUCAUCCCGACGAUAUGCUUUCUGAGUCCCGGCCUCAGCCUCCCGCUCCAACGCUGAUGGAAAACUUGCAG